GACUAAAAUUAUAAAAAAAAAUGCUAAAAUUUGUAACAUAAAAUAAAUAUACUAUAAAAAAUAUAAUUAAGGAAGAAUCUAAUAAUACUUAGUUAGUAUUAUAAUAAUAAUUAUUUUAUUAUGUAAAUUUAGUUAAAUUUAGAAUAAUUUGACUCUUCAAGAUUCUUAGAAUGACUUACGAUCUGAGACCGUAUCAUACAAUGAACCGAUGAAGCUACGACAGACACCAGACAAUGAACAAAAAAAAAAAGGUUCAAAUCCAUACAGCAGCAUGCAAAUAAUGCAUAUACAGUGCUUGGACAUCGAGUCGGAGUGUGGUAUAAACAGUACAUUGUACAAUAAAUUAAAAGAAAAAACUCUGCC
RNAcentral lists this long non-coding RNA (363 nucleotides) under Sorghum bicolor (sorghum). RNAcentral's name for it is "long non-coding RNA (SBIC_LNC006081)". The record is from RNAcentral. Lineage: Eukaryota; Viridiplantae; Streptophyta; Magnoliopsida; Poales; Poaceae.